ACAACUCCUGCCGAUGGAUAUCUUGGCUCUCGCAACGAUGAAGAACGCAGCG
This 52-nucleotide ribosomal RNA is filed under the name uncultured eukaryote. RNAcentral's name for it is "partial 5.8S ribosomal RNA". It matches the Rfam family "5.8S ribosomal RNA", at positions 1 to 50 of the family's 154-position model. From Rfam's summary of the family: 5.8S ribosomal RNA (5.8S rRNA) is a component of the large subunit of the eukaryotic ribosome. It is transcribed by RNA polymerase I as part of the 45S precursor that also contains 18S and 28S rRNA. The record is from RNAcentral.